Molecule: long non-coding RNA, 2801 nt
Organism: Passer domesticus (house sparrow)
Lineage: Eukaryota; Metazoa; Chordata; Aves; Passeriformes; Passeridae
Exons: 2
Source: RefSeq, a predicted model, not a curated record
AAGCCCAACAGCUACCCUAGGUUUACUUCCCCAGCUCAAGGUUCCCAAACCUGAAAGGCCUAUCCUAUUACAUUCACCUAGGUUAUCUACAUGGUUUUCUUUGCCUUAAAACAAGUCUGUGCAGACAUUUCUUCCCUCCCUUUUAAACAGGAAACAUCAAAGCAGUUAUUUUCAUCAUCUUUGAACUGCAUGCAUUAAUCUUAAUAUAUGUAUUAAUUUAUUUACAGCCUUUUGAUUCUGCGUCUCCUCCUCAUUUCAAGGAAAGCCAUGAAGGAAGGAUUUCAAAUUCAGGGCCUCUCCUCAGGCUAAUAAGACUAGGGCAGCAGAACCUACCACCCUUGAAAAUGCCAAGAGGCUGCAGAUUCUGCAGAAGUCCUGGUCACUGUCACUCACCAACCAGCUCUAGAAACUCAUGUGUUCAUUUUUCUCAAAUAUAUUCAUGGCUCAAUUGGCACGAAGACAGAAAAAUAAUCAGCUAUAAAAGGCCAGCAAUUAACCAGAUAUAAAAAGCACCUGCAAAUGAAGCAAAUCCACUUAAUUCCUCUACUUUAAGUUGGUUUUGUCGGACUUUUUUUUGAAGUGAGAACUAAAACAAUGAAUUAAGCAAAGACCACAUUGCUAAGAAUAUCUCCAGAUGCUUUUGCCAUCAGUUCUGAGAAGUACAACAUUGUGAGAAAACGUUACCUGAAAGACUCAUGUCCUGGAGUGUCGAUUAUCAGCAUGCCUGGAAUUUUUAUGUUCUCUCUGUCAAACUAACAUUUCAAAAUAUUAGCCAUCUUGUAGAGAUUACACAAGAAGAAAAAAGAACAAAAUAAGAGCUGGCAACAUUACUGACAGUCUGCACUUCAAAAAUCCAGAUACAUGUUUUAAGGUCAGCACCCCCUAUCAACCAAAUCAAUCUACAAUCACUUCAACAUUAAAAUAAAUCAUGCAGCACAUUCCUCCAGGUGCUAACUGACCGCAAGAUAAACUAAAAUCUGUAAGACAAGGCAGCCCACAGAAGAAAAACCAUUUCAGGGCAGUGAGAUGUACCAUCCUUGUCUUUAUGAUUUUCUCCUCUCCCCUAAGUUUACAGGUUUACAAAGUUGAGUUAAAUCUUGGAAAAAGCCAUUACUACACCAAGGCUUUUCAGCCAGCUGCUUCCACAAGCAAAAUAGUAUACAGUUUCCAAAAGAAAUGAUACAGAACAGUUACCAUUUCUGUAACGUGAUAAAAUUCAUCACCCAGAAACUGGCCAAAUUUCAGCACACACAGCAAAGGGUAAGCUUUUAACACAAAUAUACUCAAGAGGUUUCGAGAGUCUCAAUUUACAAUCAAAACUCUGACAAGUAAGCAGUCUGUGUACAUAUGUGCACUGUCCAGAACAGAGCAAACAGUAUUUGCAUAUUUUUCUGAAAAAACAGCAAUGCAUUAACUGAAGUCAAAUGCAUGAAAAAUGAGACAACCUCCCCUUUCCUGGGGGAAUGAUAGGAAUUAAAAAACAAUUGACCACAACACUGGAGGGGGAGGGGUGAAGCACAUCUGUUCCUGUCAGGAACUCUCACAAGGCCUUCAUUACUCUACAGUCCACAUUUUUUAAGAUGCAGUCACUGAAGUACUGUAACUUACAUUUUUCACCAUCUUGGUUUGUUCAUUAAUAGCUUCAAGAGGAACAUUAGUUGCACCAAUCUGCUGAGUGAUACCACCAGCUUCACUGUCCUGCACAUGAGUGUGGCGGAGCUAAAGGCAAAAAAACCAGAAAUAAUUACACAGAAGAAACUAAAAUUAUGUCUGAGCACACUCUAAUUCUUUUUGUCUUCAACCAAGAAAAUAAAUGCUUAAAAACAUGAGGCACAGGCAGUGCUUUCACACUCCAAACCUUACCUUAUCUAAAAUUUUGGUCUUGCCUGUGUCUACAUGCCCCAGGACACAGAUAACUGGUGCUCUGAGCUUUUCAGUGUUCAUGUUUUUGCUGUUUUCAGCUCGUCGUUUCUAUGUAAAAGACAUGUAAAAAUUGGUGAGUAUAAACCAAAAAGCACAGCUCACCUCUUGACUUGAUGACAUACAUACAAACAGAGUUAGCUGUGGGACUUAUAUUUUCAAGGCAAUUUAAAGUCUGUCAUCCCUCUUUAGGUAAAUCAAAAAUUUUUGAUUAACAUCUAACAUUUUUGUUUAGUUGGAUCUUCUAAUAGUGUAGUAGGCUAAGUUGUUAUAUCCACUUACAGUAGCUUUGCUGAAGGUGCAUUCUGAACAAGCACCUUGGGUGAGGAAAUCAAGAACGUUAGCAGCCAUGAAAGCACUGAACAGUUUAGACACAUCUUUUAGAACCUGAAAAUAUCUAUCUGUAAAACUCUUUUCCAGAAGGGAUAUAGAGGUGGAGGGGAACAACACUGAAGUUGCCAUCUUUAUAGUCAAGUUACCUAAAAACAAAUACUUUAUCUUCACACAAAACCAAGGGGAUUUUUUCUUAAUUAAUACAAUUUCUGAACCUGCUUAAAUAUUAGCCCUGACACAACCACCAUUUUGACAAAUAUGACAAAAUUAACUGCAAAUUAAUCUGUUGUUAUACACCACAAGAAUCCAAGUGUAUGUCAAUACCUCAAUUCUCCGUUUAGCUUUGUCAUAAGCACGCUCCUCCUUGGUGCGGUCAUCGUCAGAGUCAUACUCAGAAUCAGAGCUGAUUUCCUUGCUAGGCUUUUUUUCCAUAGAUUGUUUUCCAAUAGCUUGGGAGUCUGGCUCUCUCUCAUCUGAAGUCUUUUCAUCCUCAUCUUCACUGCCUUCACUAUCUUCAGAUUCUUCACUCUCUUCUUCCUCUUCCUCCU